Molecule: ribosomal RNA, 305 nt
Filed under: uncultured bacterium
Lineage: Bacteria
Description: bacterial SSU rRNA
Rfam family: Bacterial small subunit ribosomal RNA
Source: RNAcentral
CUGCACCUACGGGAGGCAGCAGUGAGGAAUAUUGGUCAAUGGGCGGAAGCCUGAACCAGCCAAGUCGCGUGAGGGAAGAAGGCCCUGCGGGUCGCAGACCUCUUUGGACGGGGAGCAAGGCCGCCGACGUGUCGGCGGAAGGAGAGUACCCGUAGAACAAGCAUCGGCUAACUCCGUGCCAGCAGCCGCGGUAAUACGGAGGAUGCGAGCGUUAUCCGGAUUUAUUGGGUUUAAAGGGUGCGUAGGCGGCACGGCAAGCCGGCGGUCAAAUCGCGGGGCUCAACCUCGCGCCGCCGUUGGAACUG